Molecule: long non-coding RNA, 492 nt
Filed under: Lonchura striata (white-rumped munia)
Lineage: Eukaryota; Metazoa; Chordata; Aves; Passeriformes; Estrildidae
Description: domestica (Bengalese finch) lncRNA (ENSLSDG00000010023.1)
Source: RNAcentral
GCCGCGGGCAGAGCGCGGCAGCCCGGCAGAGCGGGAGGCAGCGGCCGCCGCUUUCGCUUUUUGUUCCGGGGCCGUCCCGCCGAGCUGGGGGCCGCCGGCCGCCCCUCCCUGCGCCCCAGGGGAGGGCUGGGAAAGAAACCUGAAGUCGUGAGUCUGGUGGAGCCCUGCGUGUUUCCAAACGCCCUGCUCUGAGUUCAUCCCACCAGUAAGGCUGUGCAGCGUGAAAACUGCUGUUGCAAAACUACCAGAUUCAACCUCCUGGGGAGCCUUUCUGGCCAAGGUUUUACAAGCCAGCACCUGCUUUGCCUGCCUGACUCUUUCUAUAUUUAUUCCUCUGCACCUGGUUUUUGCCUUUGCCUGUGGAACUGUCACAAACAUUUGUGCUGGCUUUUGACUGCACAGGACUUCAGCUUGCAAGUCCUAAAUCUGCCUUUGUGCAUGGUGGAGGAGCAGGCGUUUUUGUGCAUGGCUGUGCCAUCUGUGUGUCUGAGC